This 871-nucleotide long non-coding RNA is filed under the name Homo sapiens (human). Its description in RNAcentral is "HSALNT0358452". The record is from RNAcentral. Lineage: Eukaryota; Metazoa; Chordata; Mammalia; Primates; Hominidae.
CACACACAGCUAGCUCUUCAGGCCAGGCCCCCAGGGUUUCGUCCACCUCUCACCUUUGACGACGCGAAUGAAGAAUGAGGAGGUGCUGCGAUCGAACGACUGCGAGGAAACACACCCGCUCUCAUGGCAUUCCCAGUAAACUGAGAAGACGUGAUUAAACCUCAGGAUCUCCUACUAAUAGAGAAAUGUAUAACGAUUUAGCUACCAGAUCUGAAUACUGAAGGGUUGGUAGGGGACCAGAGAAUAGAGGAAGCAUUGUAGGUUCUAGAGUGGAGAAGGGACCAUCCAAAAUGGAGUUUGAAAGAGAAUUCUGGCCUUUGUGUUUAGAGUCUGGAAUUGUCAAGAGUCUGAAAGCACAGAAUAAGACUGCAGCUAGAGCAAUUUAGGCGCCAUAGUUUGUCAAAACAGGUAAGGGGAAUAAAGGGGAUGACACCAAGAGAUGUGCAAAGAAUCUGAAGAAUUCACCUGAAAAGGAUACAACCUCCUCCUGGAAGGCAGAGGAGUAAAUAGGGAAUUGGAAAUUAAUUCCUUAUUUCUGCACAUGCACAGAAUCUGGGCCCAGGUGACUUAUGGAACCUUUAUAGAGACCACGGUGACUGACACUCAUGGGAAAGGGGGUAGAGGGGCAAGAACUGACUGUUCAUCAAAAAUUAUUAGAUGAGUGUGUCCACGACACCAGGAGAUAUGUUGAAUCAUGGACAGGGACCAGCAUAUCCACUAAGCUCUAUAUAUCUUGAUGGUGCAGGAUCCAAGUGGGAUGGAACAACCAAUUCCUGCCCAUCCUCCUGCUCAAUAAUACAUGUGCUCAGAAUCUGUUCAUAAUGCAUGGUGAGACGGGAUCUCACUGUGUUGCCCAGGCUGGUCUCGAACU